CUCCUAAUAGUGCUCAGUGCAUAUUCCUGGCGGUGGUGGUGGUGUGAUUACAUUGUUUUGGCAGGGGCGCUGGGGAAGGAGGGAUUGGUGUUACAUUGUUUUAGUCAGCACUGGCCAGUCUUGCCACACACACUCCUAAUAGCGAUCAGUGUUUGCAUAUUCCCGGCAGCUUCUUCCUCCAUCAAGCAGCACCAGAGAGACACAGCUACUUAAGGGUUGUAGGGGCAUAACUCUGCAGCAUACAUCUUUGAGGUUGUAGUGUGAAAAGAGACAAACCUGUCUUGUCUGCCCAGCCUAGCAUUCAAGUCCAGGACCUCUCAGGGUGAGAUUUCAUUGCAGUCAUGUUUAUCUGCCAACAUUCAAGACAGCACAAAGAAUGUGAACCAGUGGAAGUAUCACAUUCUCCUUUUGGAGCAAUGUGGAAACACUGUAAAAUUUAGCCAUCAACAGGUAAUCACCAUGGUCUUGUGCAUUUUGAUUGACCUUGACUGUCAUGUCACCACAGGUGCACUAUAGAAGCCUUCAAGGUGUCACAUGUCCCACAUGUCCAUGUUGUACCACAAAAUUAUUCAUGAGUGUAUAUAAUUUGUGUAGGAUUCAUUAAUGAUGGAUGGGUUGAUUUUCCUUACAGCAGAUGGAUGGCUCACACAAAAUAUAUUAUGUUAGUGUUUAUUUAUUUAUUUAUUUAUAUUUUUUUCAAUUAAUUAAUUAAUUAAUUAAUUAUUUAUUUAUUAAUUAUAUUUUUUCUUUUCUAAUGCCUUCAUAAUUUUAAACACUGAGAAAUCAGUGUUGAACAUUAAGAGCAAUAUUUCUUUUGGCCAAAUGCAUAGAAAUACCACUAAGGAGCAGUUGCUAUUAUUAAGCUUGUGAGAGAACAGAGCAGCAGAUGGAAAUAGAACUUGUGACGGAACACUCGGUUACAGUUGUCUUAGGUAUUGAUAUUACCAGGUUCAGUGAAUAACAGUUAAUAUAUACACUAAUGAACUUAAGUAUUAAUCUCAAAAAGACCAAGAACUUGGGUCAUCAUUAUUGGGAGUACUUGUCUGAUGAUGUGUUUGUCUACAUAAUUUUAAUGGAAUAUGACAUUUUGGUUUGAUGAAUUAAUUUAUCAAUGUAAAAACCUCAUACUUUUAAUAUUUUCUCUAUACCUAUAGUGAAGAAAUAUCAGAAAUGCCUUGUGACAAGAACCUCCUGCGGUAUUUUCAUGAGAAAGCACUUUCAUGAAAUGCAGAAACUGAAAAGUCUCCAUUUGCAUAAAGUGAUGUGCCAGUCAGGUGAUGCAGCAGUAGUGCUUCAGAUCAUAAAAGUUUUUCAGUGCUGACAGUAACGUUUCAUGUGAUGGUGUCUGUAACUGAUGCAAUAGCAGCACUUCAAGUGCCGCUAAUAAGGUGUCUACCAGUCGCAACUACAUGUUAUGUUUGCUCAUAUAAAAAGACUUUCAUUUUCUGUAAAUUAUAUCAUGAUAAAUUACAAAGAUUUUGAACUUUCUACACUGGCUGUGAAAAUGACAAUGUUGCCCAGUGUAUGGUGUCUUCUGUGUGGGCAGUACACGGUGUGGGAGUAUGAGAUCCUGGCUGACAUUUGUGCUGUCCAGUGUACAAGACUUCUAUAUGCCUUGCAUCUCUCUUUAGCUUCUCCUUAUGACACUUUUUGGAGUAUUUCCUCAGUUCAGCAACGGUUUACCUUUUCACUCAAGUGGUGUUCAACACCUGCAUUGUGGACACCUCUUUCCUUAUUUUUUACUCAGCAUGGGUUUUAUAGAUUGAUUGCUUUUGUUACAAGUAUUCAUAAUACAAUAAAAUGCAGUAGUUUUGAAAGUAAGGCAGUCAUGCCCUUUUUGGAGCAUGAUGGCAACAUUGUGGAAAUCGAUCUGAAGGCUGGAUAAAGUGGCUGUGAGACCCUUUCAGGCACAGAGGUCUGGCAGGGUGCUCUCUAUAAGCAUGUUACCAGUCAGUUGAAGGUAAUCACCAAGACCUGAAAAAUAGUUUUGCUUAGCCUUGACAGUAAAAUGGCAAUACAAUAGUAUGUCUGGAGUAGUUAGUUAUUAUGUUGUAUCGCACCAGCAUUAAUUUCACUGACGCACCUUGGAUCAUGAAGUUUACUGAAGUCAGGUCUAGAGGAACCAACUCGUCUAACAAGCCAAUUGGUUUUGUUAUCUUUUAUCAUAACAUGUGAGUUGAAAGUUUCUGCAAGUUUUCUAAUAUUUAUAUAUAUAUAUGUAUUUCUGUAAUAUCCUUGUUUCCCAUUCAUACACGUUUAUAUUACAAGGUUAAUCUUAAAGAAAUUCUAAUUCAGA
Molecule: long non-coding RNA, 2296 nt
Organism: Scylla paramamosain (green mud crab)
Lineage: Eukaryota; Metazoa; Arthropoda; Malacostraca; Decapoda; Portunidae
Exons: 3
Source: RefSeq, a predicted model, not a curated record